RNAcentral lists this ribosomal RNA (253 nucleotides) under uncultured bacterium. RNAcentral describes it as "partial 16S ribosomal RNA". It matches the Rfam family "Bacterial small subunit ribosomal RNA", at positions 524 to 776 of the family's 1533-position model. The record is from RNAcentral.
UACGGGGGGGGCAAGCGUUGUUCGGAAUUACUGGGCGUAAAGGGCUCGUAGGUGGCCAACUAAGUCAGACGUGAAAUCCCUCGGCUUAACCGGGGAACUGCGUCUGAUACUGGAUGGCUUGAGUUUGGGAGAGGGAUGCGGAAUUCCAGGUGUAGCGGUGAAAUGCGUAGAUAUCAGGAGGAACACCGGUGGCGAAGGCGAAUCUCUGGGCCUUACCUGACGCUCAGGUGCGAAAGCUAGGGGAGCGAACAGG